This 513-nucleotide ribosomal RNA is filed under the name uncultured bacterium. RNAcentral describes it as "partial 16S ribosomal RNA". It matches the Rfam family "Bacterial small subunit ribosomal RNA", at positions 28 to 523 of the family's 1533-position model. The record is from RNAcentral.
GACGAACGCUGGCGGCGUGCCUAAUACAUGCAAGUAGAACGCUGACUACUUUAGCUUGCUAGAGUAGAAGGAGUUGCGAACGGGUGAGUAACGCGUAGGUAACCUGCCUACUAGCGGGGGAUAACUAUUGGAAACGAUAGCUAAUACCGCAUAACAGUGUUUAACACAUGUUAGAUGCUUGAAAGAUGCAAUUGCAUCACUAGUAGAUAGACCUGCGUUGUAUUAGCUAGUUGGUGGGGUAACGGCCCACCAAGGCGACGAUACAUAGCCGACCUGAGGGGGUGAUCGGCCACACUGGGACUGAGACACGGCCCAGACUCCUACGGGAGGCAGCAGUAGGGAAUCUUCGGCAAUGGGGGCAACCCUGACCGAGCAACGCCGCGUGAGUGAAGAAGGUUUUCGGAUCGUAAAGCUCUGUUGUAAGAGAAGAACGUGUGUGAGAGUGGAAAGUUCACACAGUGACGGUAACUUACCAGAAAGGGACGGCUAACUACGUGCCAGCCGCCGCAGUAA